GCCAACUUCCAUAAUAAUUUAGAUUCAGUAUCUCGAACAGGAAAGACAGAACAUCUCAAAUCAUACAAACUCUAGCCCUAAUUUCACCGAUAAUCAACCGUACCAGGGUCUGUCACUCACUUGCAGUAGCGAUCGGCCUUCUUCUUAACGCGAUCAUCAAGCGCCUGCUCCACAGAUCUAGCUUUUGUCCGCUCCUUAUUGGCGGGAUCGUACCUGAACUUCUUCGCCUCUACAGGGAACAGCUCCUCGUACUUCAUCUUCCUUGCCGCGUCGAUCGUGUACACGUCCUCUCCGG
Molecule: unclassified non-coding RNA, 295 nt
Filed under: Hevea brasiliensis (rubber tree)
Lineage: Eukaryota; Viridiplantae; Streptophyta; Magnoliopsida; Malpighiales; Euphorbiaceae
Source: RNAcentral